RNAcentral lists this ribosomal RNA (468 nucleotides) under uncultured bacterium. Its description in RNAcentral is "partial 16S ribosomal RNA". It matches the Rfam family "Bacterial small subunit ribosomal RNA", at positions 28 to 507 of the family's 1533-position model. The record is from RNAcentral.
GACGAACGCUGGCGGCGUGCUUAACACAUGCAAGUCGAACGGCAAGGCCCUGCUUUUGUGGGGUUCCCGAGUGGCGAAGGGGGGAGUAACACGUGAGUAACCUGCCCUUGACUUUGGGAUAACUUCAGGAAACUGGGGCUAAUACCGGAUCGGAUCCCCUGCUGCAUGGUGAGGGGUGGAAAGUUUGGGCGGUGGGGGAUGGAUGCGCGGCUUUUCGGCUUGUUGGUGGGGUAGUGGCUUACCGAGGCAUUGAAGGGUAGCCGGCCUGAGAGGGUGACCGGGGUCCAUGGGCCUGAGGUAGGGCCCAGAGGGGAACGGGAGACAGCAGUGGCAAGUAUGGCACAAUGGGCGGGAGCGUGAUGCAGCAGCGCCGCGUGUGGGAUGACGUCUUGCGGGGUGUAAACCGCUGCCGCCUGUGACGAAGCGUUAGUGACGGUAAUGAGUAAAGAAGCACCGGCUAACUACGUG